AAGUCGUAACAAGGUUUCCGUAGGUGAACCUGCGGAAGGAUCAUUAACACGUAUCCAACGUUAAACAACCCUGUGAACUUUCAACCCCGUCGGAAUGAGAUUAAUUUCCAACUCCGGCGAAGACAAGUGACCUGGCACCUGACCUCAUCAAAGCUCUGACAGCGUGCCUCUGGAUGCUUAAUGGAGGGGCAUUAAAGAAUGCCGCUGACCCGGUCGCCGGCCGUGUGGGCCUCCAGCGAUCGUUACUGCGUCACCCUUCAACCACUUAACAUGACGACAGUUCCUCUUUAACUUGAGUUGAGCUAUAACAAAAAACUAAUACAACUGUUAACAAUGGAUAUCUUGGUUCUC
RNAcentral lists this unclassified non-coding RNA (351 nucleotides) under fungal sp. Its description in RNAcentral is "partial internal transcribed spacer region". The stretch from base 1 to 46 matches the Rfam family "Eukaryotic small subunit ribosomal RNA", at positions 1786 to 1831 of the family's 1831-position model. Lineage: Eukaryota; Fungi. The record is from RNAcentral.